RNAcentral lists this transfer RNA (69 nucleotides) under Cacatua pastinator butleri. Its description in RNAcentral is "tRNA-Cys". Lineage: Eukaryota; Metazoa; Chordata; Aves; Psittaciformes; Cacatuidae. The record is from RNAcentral.
GGCUCUGUAGUGAAGUUCAUGUUGAGUUGCAAGCUCAUCGAUAUGCGCUUAGGGUGCAUCAGAGNNUCU